Molecule: transfer RNA, 69 nt
Filed under: Rasbora kalochroma (clown rasbora)
Lineage: Eukaryota; Metazoa; Chordata; Actinopteri; Cypriniformes; Danionidae
Description: tRNA-Arg
Rfam family: tRNA
About the family: Transfer RNA (tRNA) molecules are approximately 80 nucleotides in length. Their secondary structure includes four short double-helical elements and three loops (D, anti-codon, and T loops). Further hydrogen bonds mediate the characteristic L-shaped molecular structure. tRNAs have two regions of fundamental functional importance: the anti-codon, which is responsible for specific mRNA codon recognition, and the 3' end, to which the tRNAs corresponding amino acid is attached (by aminoacyl-tRNA synthetases). tRNAs cope with the degeneracy of the genetic code in two manners: having more than one tRNA (with a specific anti-codon) for a particular amino acid; and 'wobble' base-pairing, i.e. permitting non-standard base-pairing at the 3rd anti-codon position.
Source: RNAcentral
AGAGGGUUAAUCCAAAUAAGACCUCUGAUUUCGGCUCAGAAAAUCGUGGUUCAACUCCACGACCCUCUU